GGGCCUCAAAGUAUUCGGUAAGUAAAGUUCGAGAUUCGAUUCGAUACUAAACAAACCAAACUUGAACACACCACUAUUCGGUUCGGCUCGGUUCGAUUACACCCCUAAAUAUAAAACAUCCUUAUUCACCUCUCUCUAGUUUUUUCGUGAUCAUAUUUCUCUCUCUAAAACGUCGACAUUCAACUACAGCGCCUCAGAUUUUCUCUGCUGGUUUUUAAUUCCCUCUCAUAUUCGACCGUUUCCUUUUUCUGAGCUGCUCACAAAUGGCUUGAAGCUCGCAUUUUCGGUGUUCUGCUGCUGAUUUUUCAGGUAUUUUUGCUUCUUCAUUUUUGAAUUGCUAUGAGCUUGCUAUUCCUCGAAAUAUCUUGCUUUUGAGCUGGAUUUCUUGUGGAUCUGAGAAAUUACGCUACGUAUCUUUCUAUUUUUUUUCUUGGUUUUUUGCGGGAAUGUUUUAUUUCUUGCCGAGCUGUUCAAUUGGCCCUAUUUCCUUGGUUGUUGGAUCUUAAAGUAGUUUUUUAAGUUUAUAAUAUUCGAGUUUAUGCGUGUGAAGUUGAGAGUUCUGAUUUUUGCAAUGUUGUUGUUAUUAUGAUCAAUAUGCUUAUUAUCUAUGUUUGGGUAAGUUUGAGCAGUUUUUGAGCGCUUAUAGAUCUGUUGCUGUGAUUCAAUUGGCGCUUAUUAGCCAGGCAGGCGAGGUUCGUUUCGUCCCACCGAAUUUGCUAUGGAAUGAGGGACCCACACCACAACGUGACCCCCUUCACCUGUGUGGGCCCGCUUUCCAACCUAUGCACAACUCACUCUUACCUGAAUUCCACACAUUUUAGACUUUAUAUACACAAUUUUUGGUUUAAUAUAAUAGUAUUAUCAUUUGGGUUUUCUUGGAGUAUUUGGAUUUCGAUUUUAAAUUUAAAAAAUUGUGUGCACAAGACAAAAACCGCGUUAACAAAAAACUGGGCCCUUUGCCUUCUGUUUUUGACGCGUUCGUCUCAAUUCAUGUAACCUCAA
This 1002-nucleotide long non-coding RNA is filed under the name Salvia miltiorrhiza (redroot sage). RNAcentral describes it as "long non-coding RNA (SMIL_LNC006382)". The record is from RNAcentral. Lineage: Eukaryota; Viridiplantae; Streptophyta; Magnoliopsida; Lamiales; Lamiaceae.